GAUGAACGCUGGCGGCGUGCCUAAUACAUGCAAGUCGAGCGAACAGACGAGUAUCUUGCUACUCUGACGUUAGCGGCGUACGUGUGAGUAGCACGUGGUUCCCUUACCUUUAAGACUGGUUUAACUUAGUGAAACCGAAGCUAAUACCGGAUACUAUCUUGAACCUCAUGGUUCAAUAGUUUCAGCCGUUUUUGAUGUCACUGCUAGAUGUAUCCUGGCCGCAUUAGCUAGUUGUUAAGGUAACGGCUUACCAUGGCAACACUGCGUAGCCGACCUGAGAGGGGGAAGGGCCACACUGGAACUGAGACACGGUCCAGACUCCUACGGGAGGCAGAAGUAGGGAAGCUACCGAAAUGGGCGGAAGACUGAAGGAGCAACGCAGCGUGAGUGAUGCAGGGCUUCGGAUCGUAAGACGCUGUUAGUAGGGAAGACCAAAUGUGUAAGUAACUAUGCACGUCUUGACGGUACCUAAUCAGAAAGCCACGGCUAACUACGUG
This 497-nucleotide ribosomal RNA is filed under the name uncultured bacterium. Its description in RNAcentral is "partial 16S ribosomal RNA". It matches the Rfam family "Bacterial small subunit ribosomal RNA", at positions 28 to 507 of the family's 1533-position model. The record is from RNAcentral.